RNAcentral lists this non-coding RNA (148 nucleotides) under Nomascus leucogenys (northern white-cheeked gibbon). Lineage: Eukaryota; Metazoa; Chordata; Mammalia; Primates; Hylobatidae. The record is from Rfam by way of RNAcentral.
GCCGGGUGUGGUGGCGCGCACCUGUAGUCCCAGCUACUUGGGAGGCUGAGGCAGGAGAAUUGCUUGAACCCAGGAGGUGGAGGUUGCAGUGAGGCAAGAUCACGCCACUGCACUCCAGCCUAGGUGACAGACUGAUAUUCUGUCUCAA